UGAAUUAAGGAUGAAAUUAAAAAUAAUUUUGGGAAGAAGGGGGCAAAAUUUGAGUUUGGGGGGUGUUUUUGAAAGAAUAAUUGAAAACAGAGAGUCAAAGUGCAAAUAGAGAAAGUUCGACCACGUAGGACCGCCCAGUCAGCAGCCUUGACGAAUUGGAGCGCGGCGCAUGGCAAGGCGCACUAACGUUGGUGCCACGCAAGAGGCCACACUAGCGAUUUGCGCGCGUGGAAGGCCUGGAUCCAUUUUUACCUUAACUGCGAUCGGACAGAUGAGAUCGAUCAUGAUGGACAAUCUAGAUCAAUGCAUAAUGGUUAUAAAUACUUUGCAUCACACAGAAACCUAAAGCCUAGCCAUCAGCCCCCACUAAAGAAGAAGAACCAGAUGCUGGAGAAGGAGGCCGACUAUUGACCGCUGCUGGGUCAGAGCCACAGCUGACCGCCAAAAAAGGUAAAAUUUCCCCCUAACCAUUUAGAAUUUGAUUUCCAGUACCACCGUGGCCAAAUCGGAGCAAGAAGAACGAUGGGUGAGCCAGAAACUACGAGCAAAGCCUAGGAGAGCAGCCACGGCUAUUACCCCAAAACCCCUCCGAUAAGCCCUUUCCCGAUUCCUAUUUCAUGUAAUUUUUAAAUCAUUUUUCUCACCGUCCUUUUCUGUGCAGGGUAGCCAAAGAAAGAAGCUCAACCGUAAAGGAAGACCGGCGGAGCUGAUGCACCCGAAGGUCCCCCGCCUGUAGGUUCAAUUUUCUUUGAGAUUUUCCAGCCAACUGAGGCCUCUAACAUGUUUUUCUAUAGGGAAUACAACCAAAACCAGUCAC
RNAcentral lists this long non-coding RNA (817 nucleotides) under Carica papaya (papaya). RNAcentral describes it as "long non-coding RNA (CPAP_LNC003938)". Lineage: Eukaryota; Viridiplantae; Streptophyta; Magnoliopsida; Brassicales; Caricaceae. The record is from RNAcentral.